RNAcentral lists this non-coding RNA (148 nucleotides) under Gorilla gorilla gorilla (western lowland gorilla). Lineage: Eukaryota; Metazoa; Chordata; Mammalia; Primates; Hominidae. The record is from Rfam by way of RNAcentral.
GCUGGGCAUGGUGGCGUGUGCCUGUAGUCCCAGCUACUCAGGAGGCUGAGGCAGGAGAAUCACUUGAACCUGGGAGGUGGAGGUUGCAGUGAGCCAAGAUCACACCACUGCAGUCCAGCCUGGGUGACAGAGUGAGAUUCUGUCUCAA